Molecule: long non-coding RNA, 679 nt
Filed under: Hordeum vulgare
Lineage: Eukaryota; Viridiplantae; Streptophyta; Magnoliopsida; Poales; Poaceae
Description: long non-coding RNA (HVUL_LNC017100)
Source: RNAcentral
CUCGAUGAUGAUCUCCGCCUUGUUGAUCCAGCAAGAGGGGCGGAGAGGUAGAGGAGUUCUCCAACACGACGGCGUGGUGGUGGUGGUGGUAGUGCUAUUCCAGCAGGGCUUCGCCUAAGCACCGCUGAAACUGGACUAGAGGAGAAACAGAUCUAGAGAGAGGGCAGCACGUGGCUGAAAUUAUGUGUCUCAAAAACCCUCAAUACCUCUAGUAUAUAUAGGAGGGAGGGAGGGGAGGAGGCAGCCUCAAACCCUCAAGGUUUGGCCGAAAUUGGAGGUGGAGGAGUCCUAUUCCAAUCCUACUAGGAGUAGGAUUCCUCCUUUCCACUUGGAAACCCUUUCCACCUUUUCCACCUUUGGGUUUUUGCCUCUCAAACCUUAUGGGCCUUAGUGGGAACUUAUUCCAGCCCACUAGGGGUUGGUUUAUCUCCUCCCACAGCCCAUAAGGCCUCUUGGGGCGUGACACCCCUCCCGAUGGUCCCCGGCACCACUCCCGGCAGUCCCGGUACACUAACGAUGAGCCCGAAACUUUUCCGGUGACCAAAACAGGACUUGCUAUAUAUCAAUCUUCAUUUCCGAACCAUUCCAGAACUCCUCGUGACGUCCUGGAUCUCAUCCGGGACUCCGAACAAAAGUUCAGUUACCAGCACCUAUAACUCAACUAUACCGAAACGUCACU